CUACAACAAUGGUGCCGAUUCCUCGUGUUCAGCACUAAAUAGCCACGUAAAAUAUACAAAUUCCAGUUUGUUCAAUACAAACAAAUCUUGUAACCGCAAAAUGGAAGGAGUUAUGAAAACACAUUAUUGUUCUGUGCAAAUAUCUGCUAUAUUUAAAAUGAAAUACAGGACCCUGAUUUAAUUGAGUUUAUAGGUGUGCACGUAAAGGAAAGGCAUACCCCUAUAAACUCAAUUAAAUCAGGGUCCUUUUUCUCUCAACAUUUUUGGCCAGUGUGAUAUUGUUAGAAAAAUGUGUCUUUAAAAGAUGAUGCCCAUAUAAGCAGGGCUCUUGGGUAGGAAGAUACGGUGCACUUUUAUACAAAAUACAAAUAUCAUUCAACCUUCAAUGUGUCCUCAAGUAACCCAAAUUCUGUAAGAGUAUAAAUCGUUUCUUACUUCCCAAAAGACUUCCCAAUGCAAACGUGUUUUGGAAAAACUCGGAAAUGGUUUAUUGGCAUUGGUAUACAGUGUCAGGACAAGCCUGAUGGAAUGGACCUAUAGAAAGCAAAUCACAGUGUUAGACCAUGUUUUACAAUAUACAUGAAUAGGCAUUAAGUCAUAUUUACAACCUGAUUGGUUCAUUGUAUCUUUUUUAAUUAGAGGACUACUAAAACCAUUCAGACCAUUUCAUCUCAAUGAAGCGGUUUGGGUGCUUCGGUCCUGUCGCCACUGGUUGUCCUGUAGCCAAUGGAAAACUAUCAGAUACCAGGCAACUGACCACAGCAUUUACU
This is a non-coding RNA of Pelobates cultripes (western spadefoot toad), 770 nucleotides long. NCBI's taxonomy places the organism in Eukaryota, Metazoa, Chordata, Amphibia, Anura, Pelobatidae. The record is from the annotation of a GenBank genome assembly.